RNAcentral lists this long non-coding RNA (223 nucleotides) under Elaeis guineensis (African oil palm). RNAcentral describes it as "long non-coding RNA (EGUI_LNC046165)". Lineage: Eukaryota; Viridiplantae; Streptophyta; Magnoliopsida; Arecales; Arecaceae. The record is from RNAcentral.
UGACUUGCCGGAGAGUGGUGGGGCACGUGGAGUUUGUUAUAGAGAGUGGAGUGGUGUCCGUUGUCGCGACUUGCCAGGGAGUUCGAGUUGGAUGGCUGAAGCUCGGUUGGGACGUCUGGUGGAGCAGAAUAGCUCUCUGUCUCAGCAAUCUAAGAGAAGCUCGGAUGUUUUCGAGGUUGCUGGUAGGUUAACUAUUGUUGGGUGCCUUAGGCAUUGAUGCUGC